This is a non-coding RNA of Ictidomys tridecemlineatus (thirteen-lined ground squirrel), 743 nucleotides long. The record is from RefSeq and is a predicted model, not a curated record. Lineage: Eukaryota; Metazoa; Chordata; Mammalia; Rodentia; Sciuridae.
GGUGAGGCACAGCAAUGGCAUCUGGGCAGUUGCAAGGGCUGAGGUCAGUGGCCAGAGAUCCCUGCAGGGGAGCUGCUCAACGUAGAAGAUUGAAAAUGCAGACGGGAGAUUGCAGAGAACCUUCCAGAACAUAAGCCAUGGGGAAGGUCCUGAUAAUGAGGACAGACACUGUUCAGGCUGCAGGGAGACCGGAUCAGAAAGGGUGAAAGCAGUGUGCCCGCAGGAGGGGGCCAGGCGGUCCCAGGGUGAGGGUGCCAGGGGAGACAGCAAAGCAGCAGGCGCUGAGAGAGACAGAGCAGACGGGUCAGGAGGUGACCAGGGUGCACGUGCAUUUUUGAGAGCCAUCAGCUCCCAGCCGGGGACGUGGAAGAGGAUGGACCCCUCCCAGGGAGAACGGAGAAGCUGCCAAGGAAAGAGACAGAUGGAGUUCCUUGUGGCAGUUGGCGGUGUCCUGAGGACUUGCACUGCAGUAUCCAGAGAUGAUCCGGGACCUACUGUGAAUUCUACCUUUAGCACAUUGCAGAUGAGAACCGAUCUUUCCACUGUCUAGAAAGACCUGCUCACCCUUCCAACAAGAAAGAUAAAAACACAGGAGCGCUACAUGAAAGAUAAGAAAGGACCACACCCAUCAAAACCAACUCUAUGGGAAGAAAAACUCAAGGGGCUGUCUGUGCACCGUGGCUUCCUGAGCCAGGCGUUUCCUUCCCUAAAGCAACACAUUUAGAACCGUUUUCAGCACUGAA